AACGAACGCUGGCGGCAUGCCUAACACAUGCAAGUCGAACGAGAUCUUCGGGUCUAGUGGCGCACGGGUGCGUAACGCGUGGGAAUCUGCCCUUUGGUUCGGAAUAACAGUUGGAAACGACUGCUAAUACCGGAUGAUGACGAAAGUCCAAAGAUUUAUCGCCAGAGGAUGAGCCCGCGUAGGAUUAGCUAGUUGGUGUGGUAAAGGCGCACCAAGGCGACGAUCCUUAGCUGGUCUGAGGGGAUGAUCAGCCACACUGGGACUGAGACACGGCCCAGACUCCUACGGGAGGCAGCAGUGGGGAAUAUUGGACAAUGGGCGAAAGCCUGAUCCAGCAAUGCCGCGUGAGUGAUGAAGGCCUUAGGGUUGUAGAGCUCUUUUACCCGGGAUGAUAAUGACAGUACCGGGAGAAUAAGCUCCGGCUAACUCCGUGCCAGCCGCCGCAGUAA
Molecule: ribosomal RNA, 449 nt
Filed under: uncultured bacterium
Lineage: Bacteria
Description: partial 16S ribosomal RNA
Rfam family: Bacterial small subunit ribosomal RNA
Source: RNAcentral